This is a long non-coding RNA of Poecilia latipinna (sailfin molly), 103 nucleotides long. RefSeq lists it as uncharacterized. NCBI's taxonomy places the organism in Eukaryota, Metazoa, Chordata, Actinopteri, Cyprinodontiformes, Poeciliidae. The record is from RefSeq and is a predicted model, not a curated record. The transcript has 3 exons.
GCCAGCAACAACUUAUUUGGAUUUAGAGUAACAGGAGACCCUAAAGCAGCUCAUUGUUAAAGCAGCUCAAAACAGGCAGAACUGAGCAGACUAAAAUCACAUU